AGCGAACGCUGGCGGCAGGCUUAACACAUGCAAGUCGAGCGGGCACUUCGGUGUCAGCGGCAGACGGGUGAGUAACACGUGGGAACGUACCCUUCGGUUCGGAAUAACGCUGGGAAACUAGCGCUAAUACCGGAUACGCCCUUUUGGGGAAAGGUUUACUGCCGAAGGAUCGGCCCGCGUCUGAUUAGCUAGUUGGUGGGGUAAUGGCCUACCAAGGCGACGAUCAGUAGCUGGUCUGAGAGGAUGAUCAGCCACACUGGGACUGAGACACGGCCCAGACUCCUACGGGAGGCAGCAGUGGGGAAUAUUGGACAAUGGGCGCAAGCCUGAUCCAGCCAUGCCGCGGGAGUGAUGAAGGCCUUAGGGUUGUAAAGCUCUUUUGGCCGGGACGAUAAUGACGGUACCGGAAGAAUAAGCCCCGGCUAACUUCGU
RNAcentral lists this ribosomal RNA (432 nucleotides) under uncultured bacterium. RNAcentral describes it as "partial 16S ribosomal RNA". It matches the Rfam family "Bacterial small subunit ribosomal RNA", at positions 29 to 506 of the family's 1533-position model. The record is from RNAcentral.